RNAcentral lists this transfer RNA (69 nucleotides) under Somniosus microcephalus (Greenland sleeper shark). RNAcentral's name for it is "tRNA-Ala". It matches the Rfam family "tRNA". From Rfam's summary of the family: Transfer RNA (tRNA) molecules are approximately 80 nucleotides in length. Their secondary structure includes four short double-helical elements and three loops (D, anti-codon, and T loops). Further hydrogen bonds mediate the characteristic L-shaped molecular structure. tRNAs have two regions of fundamental functional importance: the anti-codon, which is responsible for specific mRNA codon recognition, and the 3' end, to which the tRNAs corresponding amino acid is attached (by aminoacyl-tRNA synthetases). tRNAs cope with the degeneracy of the genetic code in two manners: having more than one tRNA (with a specific anti-codon) for a particular amino acid; and 'wobble' base-pairing, i.e. permitting non-standard base-pairing at the 3rd anti-codon position. Lineage: Eukaryota; Metazoa; Chordata; Chondrichthyes; Squaliformes; Somniosidae. The record is from RNAcentral. RNAcentral also lists the same sequence under 3 other names.
AAGGUUUUAGCUUAAUAAAAGCAUCUGGGUUGCAUUCAGAAGAUGUGAGAUAAAAUCUUGCAAGUCUUA